AGAGUUUGAUCCUGGCUCAGGACGAACGCUGGCGGCGCGCCUAACACAUGCAAGUCGAACGAGAGAGAGGAAGCUUGCUUCCUCAAUCGAGUGGCGAACGGGUGAGUAACGCGUGAGGAACCUGCCUCAAAGAGGGGGACAACAGUUGGAAACGACUGCUAAUACCGCAUAAGCCCACGGCUCGGCAUCGAGCAGAGGGAAAAGGAGCAAUCCGCUUUGAGAUGGCCUCGCGUCCGAUUAGCUAGUUGGUGAGGUAAUGGCCCACCAAGGCGACGAUCGGUAGCCGGACUAAGAGGUUGAACGGCCACAUUGGGACUGAGACACGGCCCAGACUCCUACGGGAGGCAGCAGUGGGGAAUAUUGCACAAUGGGGGAAACCCUGAUGCAGCGACGCCGCGUGGAGGAAGAAGGUCUUCGGAUUGUAAACUCCUGUUGUUGAGGAAGAUAAUGACGGUACUCAACAAGGAAGUGACGGCUAACUACGUGCCAGCAGCCGCGGUAAAACGUAGGUCACAAGCGUUGUCCGGAAUUACUGGGUGUAAAGGGAGCGCAGGCGGGAAGACAAGUUGGAAGUGAAAUCUAUGGGCUCAACCCAUAAACUGCUUUCAAAACUGUUUUUCUUGAGUAGUGCAGAGGUAGGCGGAAUUCCCGGUGUAGCGGUGGAAUGCGUAGAUAUCGGGAGGAACACCAGUGGCGAAGGCGGCCUACUGGGCACCAACUGACGCUGAGGCUCGAAAGUGUGGGUAGCAAACAGGAUUAGAUACCCUGGUAGUCCACACCGUAAACGAUGAUUACUAGGGUGUUGGAGGAUUGACCCCUUCAGUGCCGCAGUUAACACAAUAAGUAAUCCACCUGGGGAGUACGACCGCAAGGUUGAAACUCAAAGGAAUUGACGGGGGCCCGCACAAGCAGUGGAGUAUGUGGUUUAAUUCGACGCAACGCGAAGAACCUUACCAAGUCUUGACAUCCUGCGACGCACAUAGAAAUAUGUUUUCUCUUCGGAGCAAGGAGACAGGUGGUGCAUGGUUGUCGUCAGCUCGUGUCGUGAGAUGUUGGGUUAAGUCCCGCAACGAGCGCAACCCUUACUGUCAGUUACUACGCAAGAGGACUCUGGCAGGACUGCCGUUGACAAAACGGAGGAAGGUGGGGAUGACGUCAAAUCAUCAUGCCCUUUAUGACUUGGGCUACACACGUACUACAAUGGCGUUAAACAAAGAGAAGCAAGACCGCGAGGUGGAGCAAAACUCAGAAACAACGUCCCAGUUCGGACUGCAGGCUGCAACUCGCCUGCACGAAGUCGGAAUUGCUAGUAAUCGUGGAUCAGCAUGCCACGGUGAAUACGUUCCCGGGCCUUGUACAAAGCGCCCGUCA
Molecule: ribosomal RNA, 1371 nt
Filed under: uncultured bacterium
Lineage: Bacteria
Description: bacterial SSU rRNA
Rfam family: Bacterial small subunit ribosomal RNA
Source: RNAcentral